UGUAGUCAUAUGCUUGUCUCAAAGAUUAAGCCAUGCAUGUCUAAGUACAUACUUUUGCACGGUGAAACCGCGAAUGGCUCAUUAAAUCAGUUAUGGUUCCUUAGAUAGUUCAUAUUACAUGGAUAACUGUGGUAAUUCUAGAGCUAAUACAUGCAAAAAGCUCCGACCGUAUGGGAAGAGCGCUUUUAUUAGACCAAAACCAAUGGGAUCGCAAGAUUCCUUUGUAUGGUGACUCUGGAUAACUUUGUGCAGAUCGCAUGGCCUAGAGCCGGCGACGUAUCUUUCAAAUGUCUGCCCUAUCAACUUUCGAUGGUAAGCGAUAUGCCUACCAUGGUUGCAACGGGUAACGGGGAAUG
RNAcentral lists this ribosomal RNA (356 nucleotides) under uncultured fungus. RNAcentral's name for it is "SSU rRNA". It matches the Rfam family "Eukaryotic small subunit ribosomal RNA", at positions 21 to 371 of the family's 1831-position model. Lineage: Eukaryota; Fungi. The record is from RNAcentral.